GCCAAUUCUAGUACAUCCAUGGGUAGGUUCAUAAUUAAUUAUUUCUCUAAAUAACUUCUAGCAAUUAAGUUUUGCCCUAGAUCUCUCUUCAGCAAACGUGUGGCACCUCUACUAAAAAUUCUGAUUAGGUCCAACCAUUAAUAUGACUAUGCCAAGAACAUCCAACAAACGAAUGUUCAGACCCAAGUAUGGCUCAUCCAACCUGAGCAUUGAUCUGAAGGGCACAACAAGAUGGUCAUAUGAUGAAUGACAGUUCUAAUACCCAAUAGACACCAGGCGUGUGGCACCUCCAAUGCC
RNAcentral lists this long non-coding RNA (297 nucleotides) under Elaeis guineensis (African oil palm). RNAcentral describes it as "long non-coding RNA (EGUI_LNC062544)". Lineage: Eukaryota; Viridiplantae; Streptophyta; Magnoliopsida; Arecales; Arecaceae. The record is from RNAcentral.